UGGGUGGUGAAUAGGUUCUCUCCUUGCCUUC
This 31-nucleotide non-coding RNA is filed under the name Homo sapiens (human). The record is from RNAcentral. Lineage: Eukaryota; Metazoa; Chordata; Mammalia; Primates; Hominidae.